UCGCCUGUUUAUCAAAAACAUGUCUUCUUGUGUAUAAUUUGAAGUCUGACCUGCCCACUGACAUAUAUGUUGAAGGGCCGCGGUAUCUUGACCGUGCAAAGGUAGCAUAAUCAUUAGUCUUUUCAUUGAAGGCUUGUAUGAAUGGUUGGACGAGGCAUUGACUGUCUCAGUGUGAAUGAUUUUAGAAUUUAACUUUUAAGUUAAAAGGCUUAAUUGAAAUUAAAGGACGAGAAGACCCUAUAGAGCUUUACAUUUAUAUUUUGUUAUAUAUUUAGGAGUUAUUAUAUUUUAGGAUUAAAAAUGUUUUGUUGGGGUGACAGGAAGAUGGAAAAAACUCUUUUUAGAUUAAAAACAUUGAUGAAUGAAUUGUUGAUCCAUUAUUAGUGAUUAUAAGACUAAGUUACCUUAGGGAUAACAGCGUAAUCUUUUUCGAGAGUUCUUAUCGACAAAAAGGAUUGCGACCUCGAUGUUGGAUUAAGAGUAAUUUUGGGUGUAGAUGUUCAAAGUUUAGGUCUGUUCGACCUUUAAAUUCUUACAUGAUCUGAGUUCAAACCGGAGA
RNAcentral lists this ribosomal RNA (559 nucleotides) under Paraleuctra occidentalis. Its description in RNAcentral is "partial 16S ribosomal RNA". It matches the Rfam family "Bacterial large subunit ribosomal RNA", at positions 1796 to 2622 of the family's 2925-position model. The record is from RNAcentral. Lineage: Eukaryota; Metazoa; Arthropoda; Insecta; Plecoptera; Leuctridae.